RNAcentral lists this ribosomal RNA (492 nucleotides) under uncultured bacterium. RNAcentral describes it as "partial 16S ribosomal RNA". It matches the Rfam family "Bacterial small subunit ribosomal RNA", at positions 29 to 507 of the family's 1533-position model. The record is from RNAcentral.
AGUGAACGCUGGCGGUAGGCCUAACACAUGCAAGUCGAACGGCAGCACAGUAAGAGCUUGCUCUUACGGGUGGCGAGUGGCGGACGGGUGAGGAAUACAUCGGAAUCUACUUUUUCGUGGGGGAUAACGUAGGUAAACUUACGCUAAUACCGCAUACGACCUACGGGUGAAAGCAGGGGAUCUUCGGACCUUGCGCGAUUGAAUGAGCCGAUGUCGGAUUAGCUAGUUGGCGGGGUAAAGGCCCACCAAGGCGACGAUCCGUAGCUGGUCUGAGAGGAUGAUAGGCCACACUGGAACUGAGACACGGUCCAGACUCCUACGGGAGGCAGCAGUGGGGAAUAUUGGACAAUGGGCGAAAGCCUGAUCCAGCCAUACCGCGUGGGUGAAGAAGGCCUUCGGGUUGUAAAGCCCUUUUGUUGGGAAAGAAAAGCAGCAGGUUAAUACCCCGCUGUUCUGACGGUACCCAAAGAAUAAGCACCGGCUAACUUCGUG